Molecule: ribosomal RNA, 336 nt
Filed under: uncultured bacterium
Lineage: Bacteria
Description: bacterial SSU rRNA
Rfam family: Bacterial small subunit ribosomal RNA
Source: RNAcentral
AAGUGGAGCAAUCCAUGAGUAAAGUGGCGCACGGGUGAGUAACACGUGACUAACCUACCCUCGAGUGGGGAAUAACCUCGGGAAACCGGGGCUAACACCGCAUAAUAUCUACGGAUCAAAUGCGUAAGCAGCUUGAGGAGGGGGUCGCGGCUGAUUAGCUAGUUGGCGGGGUAAUGGCCCACCAAGGCAGUGAUCAGUAGCCGGCCUGAGAGGGCGCACGGCCACACUGGAACUGAAACACGGUCCAGACUCCUACGGGAGGCAGCAGUGGGGAAUUUUGCGCAAUGGGGGAAACCCUGACGCAGCAACGCCGCGUGGAGGAUGACGCCCCUUGGG